GUUUCUGUAGUGUAGUGGUUAUCACGUUCUCUUUACACGCGAAAGGUCCCUGGUUCCGAAACCGGGCAGAUGCA
Molecule: transfer RNA, 74 nt
Filed under: Merluccius polli (Benguela hake)
Lineage: Eukaryota; Metazoa; Chordata; Actinopteri; Gadiformes; Merlucciidae
Rfam family: tRNA
About the family: Transfer RNA (tRNA) molecules are approximately 80 nucleotides in length. Their secondary structure includes four short double-helical elements and three loops (D, anti-codon, and T loops). Further hydrogen bonds mediate the characteristic L-shaped molecular structure. tRNAs have two regions of fundamental functional importance: the anti-codon, which is responsible for specific mRNA codon recognition, and the 3' end, to which the tRNAs corresponding amino acid is attached (by aminoacyl-tRNA synthetases). tRNAs cope with the degeneracy of the genetic code in two manners: having more than one tRNA (with a specific anti-codon) for a particular amino acid; and 'wobble' base-pairing, i.e. permitting non-standard base-pairing at the 3rd anti-codon position.
Source: Rfam by way of RNAcentral